GUCAGAGUGCCCGAGCUGGUCUAAGGGGUGGCACUCAAGUUGCCAUAGACUUCUGUCUGCGCGAGUUCGAAUCUCGUCUCUGACA
This is a non-coding RNA of Chloropicon primus, 85 nucleotides long. Lineage: Eukaryota; Viridiplantae; Chlorophyta; Chloropicophyceae; Chloropicales; Chloropicaceae. The record is from the annotation of a GenBank genome assembly.